UACGAAGGGGGCUAGCGUUGCUCGGAAUCACUGGGCGUAAAGGGUGCGUAGGCGGGUUUUUAAGUCAGGGGUGAAAUCCUGGAGCUCAACUCCAGAACUGCCUUUGAUACUGAAGAUCUUGAGUCCGGGAGAGGUGAGUGGAACUGCGAGUGUAGAGGUGAAAUUCGUAGAUAUUGGGAAGAACACCGGUGGCGAAGGCGGCUCACUGGCCCGUAACUGACGCUCAUGCACGACAGCGUGGGGAUCAAACAGG
Molecule: ribosomal RNA, 253 nt
Filed under: uncultured bacterium
Lineage: Bacteria
Description: partial 16S ribosomal RNA
Rfam family: Bacterial small subunit ribosomal RNA
Source: RNAcentral